RNAcentral lists this ribosomal RNA (253 nucleotides) under uncultured bacterium. RNAcentral's name for it is "partial 16S ribosomal RNA". It matches the Rfam family "Bacterial small subunit ribosomal RNA", at positions 524 to 776 of the family's 1533-position model. The record is from RNAcentral.
UACAGAGGGUGCGAGCGUUGUUCGGAUUUACUGGGCGUAAAGGGCGCGUAGGCGGUUUUAUAAGCCAGAUGUGAAAGCCCACGGCUCAACCGUGGAAGUGCAUCUGGAACUGUAAGACUUGAGUACUGGAGGGGAGUGUGGAAUUCCCGGUGUAGAGGUGAAAUUCGUAGAUAUCGGGAGGAAUACCGGUGGCGAAGGCGACACUCUGGACAGAUACUGACGCUGAGGCGCGAAAGCGUGGGGAGCAAACAGG